UUGGAGGGCAAGUCUGGUGCCAGCAGCCGCGGUAAUUCCAGCUCCAAUAGCGUAUAUUAAAGUUGUUGCAGUUAAAAAGCUCGUAGUUGAAUUUCGGGAUCAAUUUACCGGUCGUGCCAUGGUACGUACUGGUUUUAUUGAUUCCUACCUUCUGACGAACCUUGAUGCCAUUAAUUUGGUGUCAUGGGGAAUCAGGACUGUUACUUUGAAAAAAUUAGAGUGUUUAAAGCAGG
RNAcentral lists this ribosomal RNA (233 nucleotides) under uncultured Glomeraceae. RNAcentral's name for it is "partial 18S ribosomal RNA". It matches the Rfam family "Eukaryotic small subunit ribosomal RNA", at positions 548 to 784 of the family's 1831-position model. The record is from RNAcentral. Lineage: Eukaryota; Fungi; Glomeromycota; Glomeromycetes; Glomerales; Glomeraceae.